Molecule: ribosomal RNA, 492 nt
Filed under: uncultured bacterium
Lineage: Bacteria
Description: partial 16S ribosomal RNA
Rfam family: Bacterial small subunit ribosomal RNA
Source: RNAcentral
GAUGAACGCUAGCUACAGGCUUAACACAUGCAAGUCGAGGGGAAACGGCAUCGAAAGCUUGCUUUUGAUGGGCGUCGACCGGCGCACGGGUGAGUAACGCGUAUCCAACCUGCCCAUCACUUGGGAAUAACCUUGCGAAAGUAAGACUAAUGCCCAAUGACAUCCCACGAAGGCAUCCGAAUGGGAUUAAAGAUUUAUCGGUGAUGGAUGGGGAUGCGUCUGAUUAGCUUGUUGGCGGGGUGACGGCCCACCAAGGCAACGAUCAGUAGGGGUUCUGAGAGUAAGGUCCCCCACAUUGGAACUGAGACCCGGUCCAAGCUCCUACGGGAGGCAGCAGUGAGGAAUAUUGGUCAAGGGGCGAGAGCCUGAACCAGCCAAGUAGCGUGCAGGAUGACGGCCCUAUGGGUUGUAAACUGCUUUUAUAAGGGAAUAAAGUGGGUCACGUGUGACUUUUUGCAUGUACCUUAUGAAUAAGGACCGGCUAAUUCCGUG